RNAcentral lists this ribosomal RNA (490 nucleotides) under uncultured bacterium. RNAcentral's name for it is "partial 16S ribosomal RNA". It matches the Rfam family "Bacterial small subunit ribosomal RNA", at positions 30 to 507 of the family's 1533-position model. The record is from RNAcentral.
AUUGAACGCUGGCGGCAGGCCUAACACAUGCAAGUCGAACGGUAACAGGAAGCAGCUUGCUGCUUCGCUGACGAGUGGCGGACGGGUGAGUAAUGUCUGGGAAGCUUCCUGAUGGAGGGGGAUAACUACUGGAAACGGUAGCUAAUACCGCAUAAUGUCGCAAGACCAAAGAGGGGGACCUUCGGGCCUCUUGCCAUCGGAUUUGCCCAGAUGGGAUUAGCUUGUUGGUGGGGUAACGGCUCACCAAGGCGACGAUCCCUAGCUGGUCUGAGAGGAUGACCAGCCACACUGGAACUGAGACACGGUCCAGACUCCUACGGGAGGCAGCAGUGGGGAAUAUUGCACAAUGGGCGCAAGCCUGAUGCAGCCAUGCCGCGUGUAUGAAGAAGGCCUUCGGGUUGUAAAGUACUUUCAGCGGGGAGGAAGGGAGUAAAGUUAAUACCUUUGCUCAUUGACGUUACCCGCAGAAGAAGCACCGGCUAACUCCGUG